GACGAACGCUGGCGGCGUGCUUAACACAUGCCAGUCGAACGGAAAGGCCCUGCUUUUGUGGGGUGCUCGAGUGGCGAACGGGUGAGUAACACGUGAGUAACCUGCCCUUGACUUUGGGAUAACUUCAGGAAACUGGGGCUAAUACCGGAUAGGAGCUCCUGCUGCAUGGUGGGGGUUGGAAAGUUUCGGCGGUUGGGGAUGGACUCGCGGCUUAUCAGCUUGUUGGUGGGGUAGUGGCUUACCAAGGGUUUGACGGGUAGCCGGCCUGAGAGGGUAACCGGCGACGUGGGGACGGAGAGAGGCACAAGACGGCAAGGGGAGGAGAGGGGGGGAAGAGUGGAAGAGGGGGGGGGAGCUGGAGACAAAAGCGCGGGGUGGGGAAAGGGGGGUUAGGGGUUGAAAACCGAUGUGGCAGGAAAAGAGGGGAGAGGGACGGUAAGGGAUAAGAAAGCCCCGGAUAACUACGUG
This 468-nucleotide ribosomal RNA is filed under the name uncultured bacterium. RNAcentral's name for it is "partial 16S ribosomal RNA". The stretch from base 20 to 328 matches the Rfam family "Bacterial small subunit ribosomal RNA", at positions 47 to 358 of the family's 1533-position model. The record is from RNAcentral.